This 479-nucleotide long non-coding RNA is filed under the name Salmo salar (Atlantic salmon). RNAcentral describes it as "lncRNA (ENSSSAG00000102649.1, ENSSSAG00020013905.1)". The record is from RNAcentral. Lineage: Eukaryota; Metazoa; Chordata; Actinopteri; Salmoniformes; Salmonidae.
CACAGUCCAGUGUCAGACUAACAACCUGAAAGGGAUUUUGGCUUUCUUUAGUGGUUAGCGAGGUGGUCAGGGGAGCAAUGGUGGGCUCUCUCUAACCAUCUAAUACCCAGUACUGGGCCUCUAGUCCAUCACAGACACCUUAUCCUGGUCUCACACAUCUUGGACACACUGGACAUUACCGACACCGGCCCGGUCUGGCUCUGGUAGCCACAGACCGUAGCAGUGUAGAUGGCCGCAGCACCGAGGUCAAUGUCCCCUUACCGACGCCCAUACAGCCACAUGCCACACUCCAGCAUGCAGACAUCCAGUCCCAGGACGAGCCAACAGAACAUCUGACCAUGAAGCUUGCCAGGCUGUGGAUCCUACAGGUCUGCAAUCACAGAAAAAUCAUAUAAUUCUCCAUCCAUAUAAAGACGCAGGCAGGCACAGCCCUCUCCAUCACUGGUGCCCCUGACAACACAGGAAAUGGAUCCCACCCG